AAAAAAUAUUUAAGGGAAAAACGUUUGAAACGCUUCAUCUCCUUCCUCUCUCUGCCGUUUUGUUUUCUUUCUGCCUUUUUCGUCUCCUUUUGCUUGAUUUAAACUUCUAACUUGGUAUCAACGUAUUAAUGGCCAACGCCUCUUCAAACGCUUCGUCUUCCUCAGCCACUACCAUUUUCACCAACCCACCAUAGAAUCAAUUGUUGAACCAAAUCACCUCAGUGAAACUCGACCGAAACAACUACCUACUAUGAAAAACCCUUGCAUUACCCAUCCUAAGAAGCUACAAACUAGAACGACAUCUCACAGGUGAAAAACCUUGUCCUCCGACGUUCGUCUCAGCAAUGACUGAAGAUUUCAGUCUCCUUCAAGGUGGGGAUGUUUUCGAAAGCACCGAUGAAAAAAGCCUCGUCGAGCUCUGCUCGCUCCAGAACAGUAAAUCCUUUGUUCGAACAAUGGGUCACAACGGAUCUCCUACUACUCGGAUGGCUCUAUAACUCGAUGAUCCCUAAAGUAGCCUUGCAGCUGUUAGGCUUCAACAACGCUAAGGAUUUGUGGGAAGCUACCCAAGACCUCUUCGAUGUGCAAUCAAGAACAGAAGAAGAUUUUCUUCGCCAUGUUUUUUAGACUACCAAGUAAGGUUCUUCUCGAUCUAGAGGAAAUAUACAAUCCGGUCAUCGCUGUCAUACAAGGCAAACCGGAUAUCUCUUAGCUGGAUAUGCAGUCUGAGUUCCUCAUCUAUGAGAAACGAUUGGAACACCAAAAUGCUUAAAGAAACCUUGGUAACAUUGUCCCUGCUGUAAAUAUGGCUCAAAGUCGAAACUCUAAUGAAUCCAGACAGAUGAACAGCUAUCAUCAGACCAACUCUCGACCCUCUUUUAAUCAACAACGUGGAGGAGGCAAUGACAAUUCCAACACUGGUCAAGGACGAGGCAACAAACCUACAUGUCAAGUUUGCGGUAAAUAUGGACAUUCAGCCCUUGUGUGCUUUAAUUGUUUUAACAAAGAAUUUGUUGGGAAUUUUGGAUAGAAUAGGGGAGGACAGAGCUCAAAUCCUGGUAACAAUACCCUACCCAACCCUACCGCAUUCAUAGCUACCCAAAACUCCAAUCCUUUUGCUGGUUUAGAAACAGUUGUUGAUCUGAAUUGGUAUUUGAACAGUGGGGCUACAAACUAUGUCACUGCUGAUUAUGCAAACUUGAACAAUCUAGGGGAAUACUCAGGUAAUAAGAAAGAUAUAGCAGGAAAUGGAAAUAAACUGCAAAUAUCCUGUGUUGGUAAUACCUUGUUAUGAUGGAAAGAACACUGUCAUACUUGAGAGCGUAUUGUGUGUUCCUGAAAUUACAAAGAACUUAGUUAGUGUAUCUAAGUUAGCCCAAGAUAAUAACAUCUAUUUUGAAUUUUAUAAUGUGCAUUACUUUGUUAAGGACAAGCGUAUGGGUCAAACACUACUGAAAGGAAACCUUAAGGAUGGGUUGUAUCACCUGGACCAAGUAGCUAUGGAAAGGAAAGAGGAGUGGAAGAAUCAGAACAAUGAGGACAGAAGGCUUUUGAACAUAAAUAAGAACAUUUCUGAAUUAUUUUUGUCUGAAAAAACAACAAGAGUUAAUGUAGUUGUAUCUAAAGCAUCUGCUAUAGACGUCUAGGUCAUCCUUCAAUGAAAAUUUUGAAUUCUAUCAUUAGUGAUUGUAAUCUGAAAGUUCAAAGUAAUGAAGAGAAUUUAUUUUGUGAACCA
Long non-coding RNA from Benincasa hispida (wax gourd), 1735 nucleotides. RefSeq lists it as uncharacterized. The record is from RefSeq and is a predicted model, not a curated record. NCBI's taxonomy places the organism in Eukaryota, Viridiplantae, Streptophyta, Magnoliopsida, Cucurbitales, Cucurbitaceae.